UAAAGCGCGCGCAGGCGGUUUCUUAACUCUGAUGUGAAAGCCCACGGCUCAACCGUGGAGGGUCAUUGGAAACUGGGGAACUUGAGUGCAGAAGAGAAAAGCGGAAUUCCACGUGUAGCGGUGAAAUGCGUAGAGAUGUGGAGGAACACCAGUGGCGAAGGCGGCUUUUUGGUCUGUAACUGACGCUGAGGCGCGAAAGCGUGGGGAGCAAACAGGAUUAGAUACCCUGGUAGUCCACGCCGUAAACGAUGAGUGCUAAGUGUUAGAGGGUUUCCGCCCUUUAGUGCUGCAGCUAACGCAUUAAGCACUCCGCCUGGGGAGUACGGUCGCAAGACUGAAACUCAAAGGAAUUGACGGGGGCCCGCACAAGCGGUGGAGCAUGUGGUUUAAUUCUAAGCAACGCGAAGAACCUUACCAGGUCUUGACAUCCUCUGACAACUCUAGAGAUAGAGCGUUCCCCUUCGGGGGACAGAGUGACAGGUGGUGCAUGGUUGUCGUCAGCUCGUGUCGUGAGAUGUUGGGUUAAGUCCCGCAACGAGCGCAACCCUUGAUCUUAGUUGCCAGCAUUCAGUUGGGCACUCUAAGGUGACUGCCGGUGACAAACCGGAGGAAGGUGGGGAUGACGUCAAAUCAUCAUGCCCCUUAUGACCUGCGCUACACACGUGCUACAAUGGAUGGUACAAAGGGCUGCAAGACCGCGAGGUCAAGCCAAUCCCAUAAAACCAUUCU
RNAcentral lists this ribosomal RNA (729 nucleotides) under Priestia megaterium. Its description in RNAcentral is "bacterial SSU rRNA". It matches the Rfam family "Bacterial small subunit ribosomal RNA", at positions 561 to 1288 of the family's 1533-position model. The record is from RNAcentral. Lineage: Bacteria; Bacillati; Bacillota; Bacilli; Caryophanales; Bacillaceae.